GCCUAUUUGCUGAAUAAAUGUUUGAUGUUUGUGUUUUUAUUUUUUUAUUUUUUUUUAUUACAAAAAGGCAAGCAUUUGACCGCAAUCUCACCUGAUGGUAAGUGCCGAUGCAGUCUAGGAUAGAUCAUGCUUACCUAAAAGAUGUCUAUUCACUCUUGAUUUAAAAAGAUCCAAGUUA
This is a long non-coding RNA of Cydia strobilella, 178 nucleotides long. RefSeq lists it as uncharacterized. The record is from RefSeq and is a predicted model, not a curated record. The transcript is spliced from 2 exons. Lineage: Eukaryota; Metazoa; Arthropoda; Insecta; Lepidoptera; Tortricidae.